Non-coding RNA from Bemisia tabaci, 2669 nucleotides. NCBI's taxonomy places the organism in Eukaryota, Metazoa, Arthropoda, Insecta, Hemiptera, Aleyrodidae. The record is from RefSeq and is a predicted model, not a curated record.
CUUUUUGCAAAUCCAGUUGAAUCAGCAUAUCUUUCAGUUUUUUUGUCGGCCAACGAGCCGACUUUCAGCUGCCUGUGGAAAGUAGAAAGCAUGAAAACUCUUUUACUGGCACUGAAUCUCUACUCGAUGUUUUUUAAUGUGCUAUUGCAUUCGGUGAUGCUUGAAUUGUCGUGAAUUUUUCUCAUAGAAGUACCUAUUCCUAGUCCACCUCUCCGAGUUUCCUUCCGUUAUUUUCAAUGUCUAGUGAGGAGGCCAAUAAUCUGAAAACGUUGGGGAACGCCUCCAUCAAAGAGGAAAAAUAUGCAGAGGCCAUACUACAUUAUAGUCAUGCCAUCAAAAUUGACCCGAACAACUAUCAACUCUAUAGUAACAGGUCUUUGGCUUUUCUUAAGAUGCAGCAAUACUAUUCUGCAAUGGAAGACGCUGAACAAACGAUUGUGCUUAAGCCAGAUUGGGCCAAAGGUUAUUUCAGGAAAGGAGAAGUUCAGUUGGCAACUCACCUGUACACAGAUGCCCUACUGUCGUAUAGAUUAGCAUUAAGACUAAUGCCUGCUGAUCUCACAAUCAUGGAGGCAAUAUCAAGAACAAUCAAAGCUGAACAGAAAGACAAAAGAGCUGAUUCGCAGAUACCAUGGCUUGGAGCUGGCAUUGGAAUCAUUAUCGGAGUUAUUAUUGUGAUAUCAGAUCAAAUUGCAACAAAGAAACCAACGGUUACUCAUCCAUUGCUGAUGGCCCUUGUCACAAUGGCAAUCUCUCUAAUUGGAUAUGGAGUUGGAUGGAUGAAUCGCUACUAUGUGAAGUGCAAUCGUGAUCAUUUACUCGACCCUCCAAUUGAUCUUCUCAAAGAAUUUAAGGAUCAAGAUAAUAAUGAUAUGAAUGGUGAGGAAAACUCACCAGAGCACCGCUCAUCUAGUCAUCGUUCCUCGAAAGGCCGAGCCAGGCAAAGAUAUAGAAAAGGCAAGAGUUAGUUUGAUUCUAGCACCAGUAUUCAUAUCCGUAGUAAACUGUCAAGCUCAAGAAGAGACCUGGAAUCAAUUUGGAAAGAUCUAAGAAUGUGUCUUCUUGGUGACACACAAGCUCUUCUUUCUAACAAUGUAAGAUCUCAAAAAACGAAGUAAAAAAAAACUGAAGUUGUUUUCUCUCUUGAUCAUGAGAAAAUAUGUCCCUCAGUGUGGUUUAUUGGCGGCGGCAGGUGUGUAAUUUAAUUUAUAAUAAAUAAUAUUGUUUACAGAAUGAAUUAUAAUAAGUCUCCUCAAAGGAUUAAGUAUAUCAUAGUCAUUAUUUGUUUAUUUUAAUUGCACCAACAAGUUAUUUGCAACAUUUUGAAAACAAAGGUUUUUUUUUUUUCAAAUACAUAUAGAUAUAUUUAUCAUGAACAUGAUAACAAACCUACUAUUUUAGCCAGUGCAAGGGCUGUAUAUUUUAAUUUUGGCACUUCUUGAAAGAAUUUUCAAGAUUGCUAUGCUCAUGGUAGAAGAUCCUAGAAGCGAGCCUGGGGAGAGUACUGAUGAGUCACAUCAACACUGCCAACCCGAAGAAAUGAAUGAGUAAGUGCCUUUGAAUGGUGUUGUGCCUCUACUCGUUUUUCUUCUUUCUCACAAAAAACAAUGCCUGAAUUGUCUUUAAGAACUCUUUGGAAACUUUUUUCCUAUAGCUGUAAAUAACAAGAAUCCAAAAAGUAGUUUCAAAUGUCGGUUUUUUUUUCAUUUUCAUGAAUUCAGAAUUUUAAAAUUUUUUCUUCACACUCAAUUACACUGCAGACUUAUUUGCUCAGGAUGACAAAAGAACCAAUUUUGGGCUUGUUUUUCAAUUGUAUUGUUAUGUAGAAUACAUGAUCAAAAUAAAUACCCAAAUUCUUUUAUCAAAGUCUGAAUUCCGAUAACUGUCUUUUGCUUAAAGGGUCCAUUUGUAAGGUAAGUAUUAAUUUUUCCAUUCAAGAUGAAUGUUAUCAAAGUUUAAAGGUGCCAAAUAGUUUCUCUGCUGCUAAUAUCCAGGUUCAUCUUAUUUUAGUUUAAUUGAUUGCAUCACUUAUCGUUGUAAUUUUACUUCAGUUAUACAUACUUAGAUCUCACUAUAUUUAUACAUUUUCUUUAUGGGACCGGCCUCAGAACUGCAUUUUUGAUACAUCACGGUUUCCAAAGAUUGUUUUGUCUCCGGUGAACGUUCAGUUUUGCUUAAAAAAAUUCCAUUUCAACCCCAACAUGAAAGUUGGGGCAAGAGUUUAUAAAAUAAUUUUCUCCUCAAUUUAUUGCUGCUUUUCACAAAGAUUAAAAGAAUUGGAAUUAAAUACUACCUGAUAAAUCGGUUUCCAUAAUAAUUUUUUCUAUCAAUAAGUAAGUAACCAAAACUCUCAUGAGCAUUUAUUCCCCAUUUUCAUAAUGCUUUCUUUAAGGCAUUUAAGAUUUCUUGAUGAAAAUUGCUCACCCAAUGAAGUAAUUUCAUUAACAUAAUUUUUCCAUGUUUAUUUUUUACAUUGUUUCAGCUAUUUUUAGUUGUAUACAGCGUUUAAAAGUAAGUUGUUUUUCAUCUCAAUGAUUCUGAAUGGUUCAGUUAGUUAGUGUAAUACCUCAUGAAUUAGCUAUGCUUCUUGUUUGUUAAUUUUUUACUUUGCUCUGCUGUACUUCUUAUUCUGUAAAGUUGUUGCAAUGAAUACAUUCUGGUCUUAAUUA